Molecule: long non-coding RNA, 534 nt
Organism: Corylus avellana
Lineage: Eukaryota; Viridiplantae; Streptophyta; Magnoliopsida; Fagales; Betulaceae
Source: RefSeq, a predicted model, not a curated record
CGCGCCUUUAGUUUUAGGUUUCAUUUUCCCCCUACCCCAAAUGCUUCCGCCCCCCCUCUCUGUCUCUCAAUUUCUCCCUCACUACAACUGGCUGCCACCGCCGUCGGCCACACCAUCCAGUGGCUACGAAACGCCCCCGACCCGAACCCAGUUUCUCCCUCUCUCCCAAACCACCGGCCACCACGAAGCGGCAGCGCCGACGCAAACACCAUCUGCCUCCGCCCACCACCAGCGACGCCCACCCACCCACUGUGGCACUGUUGGGUUUUAGGUUUUGAGCUGAAUUUUAUUUCUGAAUGGACGCCAAGAGGUUCAUCCAAUUGGUCGAAGAGAAAAAGAAGAGAGCUUUGGAGAAGAAGUAACCCCCUUUGAAAUGGGAGCAGAAGCUGGAAGCCGCUGACUCAGGCGGUGACAAAUGUGUAGUCUCAUUUUUUUUUCGCCUUUCGUGUAAUUUAUGAAAAUAUAUGAGUGCACUGCAUUUACUGUAAUUUUGCAACCUUGUUGAAUAGAAGGGAAAUAUUUUGCUUUUGUCUA